Schistosoma haematobium is the source of this 48-nucleotide non-coding RNA. NCBI's taxonomy places the organism in Eukaryota, Metazoa, Platyhelminthes, Trematoda, Strigeidida, Schistosomatidae. The record is from Rfam.
AUCCAGCUGACGAGUCCCAAACAGGACGAAACGCGCGUCGAACUGGAU